UAACACGUAGGUAACCUGCCCCGGAGCGGGGGAUAACAUUUGGAAACAGAUGCUAAUACCGCAUAACAACAAAAGCCACAUGGCUUUUGUUUGAAAGAUGGCUUUGGCUAUCACUCCGGGAUGGACCUGCGGUGCAUUAGCUAGUUGGUAAGGUAACGGCUUACCAAGGCGAUGAUGCAUAGCCGAGUUGAGAGACUGAUCGGCCACAAUGGAACUGAGACACGGUCCAUACUCCUACGGGAGGCAGCAGUAGGGAAUCUUCCACAAUGGGCGCAAGCCUGAUGGAGCAACACCGCGUGAGUGAAGAAGGGUUUCGGCUCGUAAAGCUCUGUUGUUGGAGAAGAACGUGCGUGAGAGUAACUGUUCACGCAGUGACGGUAUCCAACCAGAAAGUCACGGCUAACUACGUGCCAGCAGUCGCGGUAAUACGUAGGUGGCAAGCGUUAUCCGGAUUUAUUGGGCGUAAAGCGAGCGCAGGCGGUUGCUUAGGUCUGAUGUGAAAGCCUUCGGCUUAACCGAAGAAGUGCAUCGGAAACCGGGCGACUUGAGUGCAGAAGAGGACAGUGGAACUCCAUGUGUAGCGGUGGAAUGCGUAGAUAUAUGGAAGAACACCAGUGGCGAAGGCGGCUGUCUGGUCUGCAACUGACGCUGAGGCUCGAAAGCAUGGGUAGCGAACAGGAUUAGAUACCCUGGUAGU
RNAcentral lists this ribosomal RNA (697 nucleotides) under uncultured bacterium. RNAcentral's name for it is "bacterial SSU rRNA". It matches the Rfam family "Bacterial small subunit ribosomal RNA", at positions 111 to 794 of the family's 1533-position model. The record is from RNAcentral.